GGUCGGGUGGUGUAAAGGUAACACGUCCUCUGAAAAUCUGGCUUCAUCCCCUGGCGUUUUAAGAGGAAACUCCUUGUUCGAAUCAAGGCUCAAUCA
Molecule: non-coding RNA, 96 nt
Organism: Mycena crocata
Lineage: Eukaryota; Fungi; Basidiomycota; Agaricomycetes; Agaricales; Mycenaceae
Source: the annotation of a GenBank genome assembly